UCGACUUUCGCCUUGUGUCAUAAACUGCUCCUGGACACAGAAUUCCAAUUAGCAUAAAACAUAAAGGAAAAACAGAUUUGUGUGUCUGUGUGCAUCCAUAAUAAUCACUGACCACUUAUCACGUCUUCAUUUUGGCAUUGCUGUGUCCUUGAACCUUCUGUUUGCAUGUCUCUGUGUUUGCAUGUGUAGCUGGCAGUGCUGAAGCUGGAAGUUUUGAUCCUGUGGACGGAGGUGGAGAAUCGGAAACCAGAGCAGCAGAGAACAACUCCAGCAGGAAAGGCUCUCCCCCAGGCCCCGCAGCAGUGUGCCCAAGGCAUCCCAGAGUUGAGUAUGCACCGUGCAGAGGUGUGUCAGCUGAGUAGAGGUGUCCAGACUCAACCAGCUCAAAGACGGAUGUCAGACAGGCAGACUGGCAUUUGCAACAAAAAAAAGGAGUUGAUCAAAUGAUACUUUUUAUCUCCACAUACGUAAAAGUGUGUAAGGUAACAUAUGUGUCCUGACUGAGUGUUUGCAUUCUUGUCUUUAGGUGUUGCACCUUUAGGAGGCAGGGGAUCGGCUGCAGGCUGAGGUCCUGUCAGAGGCCGGUGCAGUCAGCAGGAGAUAACAGCUCGAGAGUAGAGGGUUACCACGCUGGAGCGAGACCUGUAGGCUGCUCACAGCCAAACCACUGAAAGGAAGCAGCAGGGCAGAGAAGUGAUGGACUACUGUAGUGGGCAGAGAUGGAUCUGUGGAAAACACAGGAAGCUCUGUAGAGAGGGGCUGUGGAGGCACAGCAGCAAGCAGCUGGAGGUCCACAGCCGGAUGGCAGCGCUCCACUGGUACAACACAGAAGGACCCAGCAUGGCCUCCCCUCAGCUAAGCUGCAGCACUGUACACAAGAGCACAAGGAAGACUAAGACCACUGCAAAGACUCAGUCCAAAGUGGAGGUUUUGUGUUCAGACAGUCGGCUCUCGUGUCCACAAGAUGCUCUCCACUGUCAACCAGUUGGUCCUGGAACGUAAGUAAGGCCUUAAUACACACCACAUUACUGCUGAGGUCUCUCUGCACUUGCACAAUAAUUGGUUUCUAUCCCAACAAUAGCUAAUGCACAUUUUAUCAUAUCCCUAUAUUGCUGCAGGCAAGCAAAUGAAAAACUGGCACUGAAAAUAAAAGAGCAAAAGCACGAGGAUCAUCCAUCUCUGCCAAGAAAGAGAAAGUGGACAGAGGAGAGUUAUAUUUAUGUGCUUUGCUCUCAAAUGCAACAGUGUGUGAAAUACAGUGCACUUUUUUUUGUUCUUGUGUAUGUGUGUUUACAAGUGGGCACACAUGAAUUCACCUGCAGGAGGGUGGGGAAGCUCGGCAAAUUGAGGUCAGGAGACUUAGAGCUGAGCUUGACGAGAAAAGGAUUGAAGAGGAGAAGAUCCAGCUACUGUAUAUCGACCAGGCCUCAGUGACACAGCAGCUGCUGGAAACCUGCUCAGUGCACUGAAGUGAUCAGCGAGGAUAUACAGCGGUUGAGUCGGCUCUCCCGCCGCAGGGGUCACAGUAGGUAAGUUAUUUACUCACUGGCAGCAUGUAAGGAUUAAUUCCAGCCUUACAGGAAGAGGACACCAUCGGUUUCUGCCUUGGCCAAAUCAAUAGGCAACAUUCUUUCCAACAUAGCAGUCAAUACGCCACACUUAAGGUGUCUGAGGAAACUAAAGAACACCAAUAAUUGUUAUUAAUGCCUCGGAUGUCCCCAAGCAUUGCAUUUAGGGGCAGUCCCCAUCUAAGAGACAUUCAGCCAUCACAUACUGUACAUACCCCACAAAGGCCUCCCAGGCUCUAGUAAAGUGUCUGUGAAUACUCUGUGAAAAUGUUAAAGGUCCAGUGUGUAGGAUUUAGGGGCAUCUGUUCGCAGUAGUGGAGUAUAAUAUUCAUAACUGUGUUUUUAUUAGUUUAUAUUCACAUGAAAAUAAGAAUCAUUGUGUUUUUGUUAGCUUAGAAUGAGCUGUUUAUAUCAUCAUACGGACAGGACCUUGUCCAUAUUCACUGUUCACUGAGUCCAGUAUGUUGUUCUCCAGUAAUCCAGAACAGACAAAUCAAACAGUGGCUCUAGAUAGGGCCAUUUGUGUUUUUGUGUCAGCAACCGUAGUUCUUUUACACGCUUGGCACAUGGGAAAAGUUUAAUCUCUGCAACCUCACCACUACCUGACACUAAAUCCUACUAGAUCCUACUAGACCUUUAACACAAAGAAGUGGUAAUGAAUAUAAUAAAAUCAGUGUUGGCAUUCGGGGGUUUUUUUUAGUCACACUGUGGUAGGACCAAAGAAAAAUUUCAUAAACGUAUAUCAUGAAAUUGAAUAUGAGAUUAGUGGUGCCCAGAGGAUGAGGCCGACUGACCUUGGCGAUCCCCUGACUUUUGCUCUAGUGGCACCAUGAUGUUGGGUGUUACUGAAAUGUUUCAACAGCUACUAAAUAGAUAACCGUGACAUUUUGUACAGACGUUCAGAGGAUGAAUUGUAAUAACUUUGGUGACUUAAUUUAUCCAUCCCUUUGGUUUAUGACCAAAUACCUGCAAACCUAAUGAUGUUCCCAUCAGCCUCAACUGUACUUUGUGUUUAGUGCUAACUUAAAUGUUACUGUGCUAACAUGCCAAGCUAAGAUGAUAAAUACCUGCUAAAUCAGCAUGUUAGCAUUGUCAUUGUUAGCAUGCUAAUAUUAGCCUUUAUGUUAAAGCACCACUGUGCCAACCACCACCUUAUUGAGUGACUAGCAUGACUGUAGAUUAUUGAUAUUUAAAAAAGUGUUAAUAAAUGACAACUGGUAUUUAGACUUUGGAGCAGGUUGUUUUGGUUGUGACAUGUUAUGGGCAUUAAACUUGAUUUAAAGUGGCGGCACGUGUCUUUGUGUCCUUGACCAACUG
Epinephelus lanceolatus (giant grouper) is the source of this 2885-nucleotide long non-coding RNA. RefSeq lists it as uncharacterized. The record is from RefSeq and is a predicted model, not a curated record. Lineage: Eukaryota; Metazoa; Chordata; Actinopteri; Perciformes; Serranidae.